Molecule: long non-coding RNA, 614 nt
Filed under: Gossypium barbadense (sea-island cotton)
Lineage: Eukaryota; Viridiplantae; Streptophyta; Magnoliopsida; Malvales; Malvaceae
Description: long non-coding RNA (GBAR_LNC013944)
Source: RNAcentral
UUCCAAUAAAAAUGGAGGGCAGAAAAUUUGUUAGGAUUGUUGAAGUUAUAAUGGUGGUGAUAAUGGUGGUUUUGAGUGGAAUUUUGACUACAAACCCGAUGAUGUUGGCACUAGCAAGGCGGUUGAAUGAAGAGGUGGUGGCCGUAGGUGGUGUUGGUCCGGAUGACCAUUCGCCUAUUCCCCCGAUCAGGUCAUCUUGCAAAUCCCAUAUUCCGAGUCCCACAUGCCCUCCCUAUUCUUCAAAGCAUAGGUGAGUCCUCUAUCUAUAUAAAUAACUAUUAAUAUGAUAUAAUUUCGAUUUAAUUUUUAUAUAUCACUAACAUUAUAGUACGUACCAUUACAUAUAUAUAAUUUAUUUGUUUCUUGGUUGGGACGCAGGUAAAAUGGCAAAUUGGGGUAGCAGAAAAGAUCAAAAGAUAACUAAAGUAAACAAGGUUGAUGCAGAGUUGUGAUAGAAUCAGCUUGUUUCUUGAUUAUGUUUAAAGUUGAACAUGUAGUUAAAGGAUUAAUGUUUGUUUGUCUGAUAUUUUUGAAUCGUUGUAAUUGUAGUGAUUACGAUUUAGUUGAAAUAAAAACCCUUGAUUUAAGAAAAUAAAUGAAAGGAUUAUUGUGUA